This 433-nucleotide ribosomal RNA is filed under the name uncultured bacterium. RNAcentral's name for it is "partial 16S ribosomal RNA". It matches the Rfam family "Bacterial small subunit ribosomal RNA", at positions 29 to 507 of the family's 1533-position model. The record is from RNAcentral.
AACGAACGCUGGCGGCAUGCCUAACACAUGCAAGUCGAACGAGACCUUCGGGUCUAGUGGCGCACGGGUGCGUAACGCGUGGGAACCUGCCCUUAGGUUCGGAAUAACUCCCCGAAAGGGGUGCUAAUACCGGAUAAUGUCUUCGGACCAAAGAUUUAUCGCCUUUGGAUGGGCCCGCGUUGGAUUAGCUAGUUGGUAGGGUAAAAGCCUACCAAGGCGACGAUCCAUAGCUGGUCUGAGAGGAUGAUCAGCCACACUGGGACUGGGACACGGCCCAGACUCCUACGGGAGGCAGGAGAGGGGAAUAUUGGAAAAUGGGGUGAAGGCUGAACCAGCAAUGCCCGGUGAAUGAUGAAAGCCGUAGGGUUGGAAAGCUCUUUUACCCGGGAUGAUAAUGACAGUACCGGGAGAAUAAGCUCCGGCUAACUCCGUG